GAAAUGCGAUACGUAAUGUGAAUUGCAGGAGUAGUGAAUCAUCAAACCUUUGAACGCAAGUUGCGCUCCCAGGAAAUCCUGGGAGCACGCUUGUUCGAGCGUCACCCACCAUCCUCAACCUCUCAACCCCCUCGUGGGGCUGCUGAGCAAGGACACGGGCAACUCCACCUUCAAGGGGGAGCUGCUUCAGUUUGAGCGAGCCACAGUGCAGCGCUGUCUCUCACCACGCAGAAGUCGGAAAGCCUUGUGCUCAUGACCCUGCACCCGAGAAGACUCUGUGCUCUCUGUCCCUCGUGGGUUCGGUCGCCUCGUGCGAUCAUUUUCACCCCGUGACCUCGAAUCAAGCGGAGCCACCCGCUGAAUUUAA
RNAcentral lists this unclassified non-coding RNA (367 nucleotides) under uncultured fungus. RNAcentral's name for it is "sequence contains ITS1". The stretch from base 1 to 104 matches the Rfam family "5.8S ribosomal RNA", at positions 50 to 154 of the family's 154-position model. The record is from RNAcentral. Lineage: Eukaryota; Fungi.